This 465-nucleotide ribosomal RNA is filed under the name uncultured bacterium. Its description in RNAcentral is "bacterial SSU rRNA". It matches the Rfam family "Bacterial small subunit ribosomal RNA", at positions 331 to 793 of the family's 1533-position model. The record is from RNAcentral.
CCAGACUCCUACGGGAGGCAGCAGUGAGGAAUAUUGGUCAAUGGUCGGGAGACUGAACCAGCCAAGCCGCGUGAGGGAUGAAGGUACAGAGUAUCGUAAACCUCUUUUGUCAGGGAACAAAGGCGGGGACGCGUCCCCGGAUGAGUGUACCUGAAGAAAAAGCAUCGGCUAACUCCGUGCCAGCAGCCGCGGUAAUACGGAGGAUGCGAGCGUUAUCCGGAUUUAUUGGGUUUAAAGGGUGCGCAGGCGGUCUGUAAAGCGCGCGGACAAGCCCGGGGCCCCCCCCCCGCCCCGCCGUUGAAACUGGCAGUCUCGAGUUGGAGAGAAGUAUGCGGAAUGCGCGGUGUAGCGGUGAAAUGCAUAGAUAUCGCGCAGAACUCCGAUUGCGAAGGCAGCAUGCCGGCUCCACACUGACGCUGAGGCACGAAAGCGUGGGUAUCGAACAGGAUUAGAUACCCGCGUAAG